ACUACCCUACUCUGUGCGUGUUGCACCUGAAGUUUUGAGCCAACAUUUUUUGAAAGGGAGUCCGACUCAACGCAAGGGAAUGUAGACCUUACAUAGUAUAAGGAAACAGGAAUCUGCGGGAGGGCACCCACCUGUUGGAGAACAGGUUCAAAAAACUUUGGGCUUAUACACGGCAUGGUGGGGUUAUC
This 188-nucleotide non-coding RNA is filed under the name Desulforamulus aquiferis. RNAcentral's name for it is "6S RNA". It matches the Rfam family "6S / SsrS RNA". Rfam says of the family: E. coli 6S RNA was the first non coding RNA to be sequenced, but its function was unknown until recently. It consists of 184 nucleotides that fold into an extended hairpin structure with a large single-stranded internal bulge. The record is from RNAcentral. Lineage: Bacteria; Bacillati; Bacillota; Clostridia; Eubacteriales; Peptococcaceae.